GCGCCCGUAGCUCAGUGGAUAGAGCACUUGACUACGGAUCAAGUUGCCGGGGGUUCAAAUCCUCUCGGGCGCUCCA
RNAcentral lists this transfer RNA (76 nucleotides) under bacterium. RNAcentral describes it as "tRNA-Arg". It matches the Rfam family "tRNA". Rfam says of the family: Transfer RNA (tRNA) molecules are approximately 80 nucleotides in length. Their secondary structure includes four short double-helical elements and three loops (D, anti-codon, and T loops). The record is from RNAcentral.